Molecule: long non-coding RNA, 1439 nt
Organism: Meriones unguiculatus (Mongolian gerbil)
Lineage: Eukaryota; Metazoa; Chordata; Mammalia; Rodentia; Muridae
Exons: 2
Source: RefSeq, a predicted model, not a curated record
ACCUGGAAGAGGGGAAAGGGAGCGUAAAUAUUUCACAUGCACAUCAAUUUGAUUUGGUGAUGGUUAUUACUUCGGUUUCCUUUAAUUAUGUUAUUUUCUUCAUUCAUCCAUCUAAAACCAACUGCUUCAAAAGUAUCACCGAUGGGACCCCUGACUUGCCUAGCACGUCCUUGAAUGCAGACAUUGUGAACCUGGACAGUUAAUCUGAUAACUGAGACAGUCACCAAGUACCUAAGGGGGCAAAGGGUGGUCGUGUACACAGUAUGGACUCACUGGACCAAAAGACACCUCAUUCCGAAGCAGAGUAAAGUGGGACAGUCUGAGAUCUCAUGCUACACAGAAUAACGUUUAAAGCACACGGAUUGUUCGCUUCUGGGCGGUUCCACUUAAUAUUUCUGAGCAGCUGUUGACCUCAAGUAACUGAGCCCUCAGGUAACUAUGAUCUCAGAAAGUGGAACCAGAGAAACGGGAGCUACUAAAUAAAAUGUAGAUUUAAAAGAUACCAUUUUGAUAGGGGGAAACUGAGUCCGCUGCUCUCUAUCUCUAUUAACCUAUCAGUUACAUGUCUGACCUCUUAACACAACAAACGUGAACGCGGUUUUUCAGAAAGAACUCAGGUUUACUUGACUCCGUUGAAACAUCUAGUUGUGACCCCGGCAGCUUCCCAAUAGCCAAGACUUUGUCAAGGACAUGGAAAAGCGGUGAUAGAAAUGAGGAUGACACUUAAAAUACUUAACGAAAUAUGACAACAUCUGGAAGAUUUACACAGUUCAUUGGAAAAUGUUCUUGAAAUGGCUAAGGUUUAAUGUUACGACACUAAGCCCAGGAGGGAGCGGUUCCAAGCCUCAAAUCAAUGAGUUUGAACACAGUGAAGCCUCAGGAGUCAGGUUUCCAACUGCACACCAACCUACCUUUAAGACCAACUACGCGUCACGGAGCUCUGCUCCAGCAUCAACGACUUCCACCAUUACAGAGUGCAAGCAAAAUAGCCCUCGCUUUUCCAACCCUGAAUCUACGCGGAACUGACUUCCUUCACAUACGUCAGCCAAAACACCAGACUGAGCAGAAGUGCCAGAGGAACACCGCUCCUCUUUAAUAAAGACGAGAUGAUAGGGGAAGCUACAGCCGUGAAACCACAACAAUAUGGCUGCCUACGUCAUUUAGACAAGAGAAAUGACACCACCAGCUGACAUGCCAACAUGGAGAGGUGAAAUCUCACAAGCCCCCACCCGGAGUAAGAACAAGCAAUUAAUGACUGCUCAGAGAAGAAUCGGUCUUCCCCAGCGAUGAGUUUUUGAACUGGUUAUCCUAUACCAAGAAGUCGGCCCUAAAAGCAUACACAUAUGAACAUGAAAUGGACUAAACAAAUGUGUAAAUAUAUUUAAAUAUAUGUGUAUAUAUUAUGUGUCUGUGUCUUAUAAUAAUAACUAAAGAAACAA